Molecule: ribosomal RNA, 460 nt
Filed under: Acidovorax sp. R-26843
Lineage: Bacteria; Pseudomonadati; Pseudomonadota; Betaproteobacteria; Burkholderiales; Comamonadaceae
Description: bacterial SSU rRNA
Rfam family: Bacterial small subunit ribosomal RNA
Source: RNAcentral
AGAGUUUGAUCCCUGGCUCAGAUUGAACGCUGGCGGCAUGCCUUACACAUGCAAGUCGAACGGUAACAGGUCUUCGGAUGCUGACGAGUGGCGAACGGGUGAGUAAUACAUCGGAACGUGCCCGAUCGUGGGGGAUAACGGAGCGAAAGCUUUGCUAAUACCGCAUACGAUCUACGGAUGAAAGCAGGGGACCGCAAGGCCUUGCGCGGACGGAGCGGCCGAUGGCAGAUUAGGUAGUUGGUGGGAUAAAAGCUUACCAAGCCGACGAUCUGUAGCUGGUCUGAGAGGACGACCAGCCACACUGGGACUGAGACACGGCCCAGACUCCUACGGGAGGCAGCAGUGGGGAAUUUUGGACAAUGGGCGAAAGCCUGAUCCAGCCAUGCCGCGUGCAGGAUGAAGGCCUUCGGGUUGUAAACUGCUUUUGUACGGAACGAAAAGACUCCUUCUAAUAAAGGGG